RNAcentral lists this ribosomal RNA (1919 nucleotides) under Triticum aestivum (bread wheat). Its description in RNAcentral is "partial small subunit ribosomal RNA". The record is from RNAcentral. Lineage: Eukaryota; Viridiplantae; Streptophyta; Magnoliopsida; Poales; Poaceae.
CGCAUCCUCUGCCGCCAUCGUUGCUCGCCCCGGUCCCCGUCCUGCAGCGGUGGCCGAGGAGGACUAGCCGCGCCACGGCCGCACGUCCCGUCCUGCAGCGAUGGUCCACGGGAUCGGCACCGGCACCGGCCUCCUUGCUCCCGCUUGAGUCAUGGAGGGACAACCAGCAGCGGCGGCCCAGGAGAUCGACGACUAGCGAGGCGAGUCGCCUUCGAUUCUGCAGGAGCCCGAUGGUUGUCUCCUCCUCCACAGCCGCACACGAGCGGCCAGCCCUGGACUAGGUCGCGACAUGAGAAGCGGACGUCCGAGGCAUGUCCAGCGCCACUGCCCGCUCGAUACGUCCCCCGCCCCAGCUGCCGACCCCCUCCUCCACGGCGGCGCCUUCGUCCCCGGCGAUGCACGGCAGCAGCCCACUACAGGACGGUGAAGAUAGGGGACAAGAGCUGCUCGCUGCAGCCGCUUGUCGGCGGCCCCAACGGCCUCGUCCCCUGCCAAGAUGAUAAGCCGCGAGAUGGCGGUGCCGCCGAUGGCCAGCCGCAGGACGAGACCAGGGACAAUAGGCCCCUGAUCGACAAUAACACCGUGCAGACGCUGUCCAGCAAGGACAUCGAGGCGAUGAAGCGGGAGGAUGCCAGCGGUGACUCCAUCGUGGAGGCUUUGAUAGCAAAUGGCUCCACAUUUGGAAAUAAGACAGUGUUCUCAGAGAAAUACAAGCUGAAGGAACAAAACAAAUAUGCGCCUAAAGUGCUUUUGCGGCGCCCCUCUACCCGAAGGUUUAUGUGAGUUGAUGCGCUCUCCCUCUUGUUGUCUAUGGCAAUUGUUGGUGCAUAUUCAGAUGUGCUUGCCGUUGAUAUGGUUGGGGGUUUAGUUGUUGGAGCUGUAUCUGAACACUUAGGAGGGAUUUGCGCGGUGGAGACAGCUAUCCAUUUGUGCGGUCAUUGGAUUAGUAAACAGAGAGGGGGGAGGGAGGGAGCAAUGGACAAGAAGGCAACAAAGAUGAAGAUGCUCUCGUCGGCAGCGGCUUUUGUGGAGGGUGGCGUGCAGGACACCUUCGACGACGCCUGCAUCAUCUGCCUUGAGAACUUCUGCGACAGCGAGCCCUCCGAUAGCGACCUCUCUCUUGCGGAUGUUACAAGCUGCAAGCAUGAUUUCUUUCUCCAGUGCAUCCUUGAGUGGCUGAGCCUUGUGUUGGGAGGAUCCCAGGCUGAAUGAUGCUUGAUCUCCUUUUGGAGGAGCUUAUGUUUACCGCAGCCCGUUAUAGUCGAAGGGGCUGUUUAAGUAACACCAUGAGUUCAUUUACUGGUGUUCGAUCCUCCGAUGAGGCAGCGGCGGAAGACUUGCCUUUUUGAAGCCAUCAGGACCAUCGAAAAUGCCACAAGCACAGUGGUUAAAGAUCUGAAUUAUGGACGCUUAAACAAGAUGGAACAAGACUUUGGUUAUCUAAGGCUCAGGCUCAAUGAAGCAUUUGACACAAUAGACAGGGUUGCCAAAGGAUAUUUGUAUGCUAUAAGAUACAUGCCAGCUUUCUUACACCAGCUUCAUAAUGUGAUAGCACAUGCUUUUCCUCCUACUCGUGUUGUGGACAAGUCAACAAAUGAGGCUCUCAAGAAUAUUGAGGUGGUAGCUCAUAAUCUCAGGACAGAAGCAAUAGUCUUGAGAACAAGCUAUAUGUGAGAAGGCAGAGUCAAGCGCGUGAACAUGAGGUAUUUGCACCUGUGGCUUUCUUUGGUCGUGACGUUUAAGAUAAGCGCGUGAACAUGCGUAGCUUGAUUUCGGACUAAAUCCUUUGUAGUUGCGUGGACCAACUUCUAUAUACUAAAUAUGUAUAGCUUGCUUUUGAACUGAACCUGUUGUUUCCUGAACCAAUUGCUAUGUAUUGAAUGUGUAUAUAUCGAUGCAAUGCUUCAAAUAUAAACUUG